GAUGAACGCUGGCGGCGUGCCUAAUACAUGCAAGUAGAACGCUGAAGGAGGAGCUUGCUCUUCUGGAUGAGUUGCGAACGGGUGAGUAACACGUAGGUAACCUGCCUGGUAGCGGGGGAUAACUAUUGGAAACGAUAGCUAAAACCGCAUGACAACAGUUAUUGCAUGAUAACUGUUUAAAAGGGGCAACUGCUCCACUACCAGAUGGACCUGCGUUGUAUUAGCUAGUUGGUGAGGUAACGGCUCACCAAGGCGACGAUACAUAGCCGACCUGAGAGGGUGAUCGGCCACCCUGGGACUGAGACCCGGCCCAUACUCCUACGGGAGGCAGCAGUAGGGAAUCUUCGGCAAUUGACCGAAGUCUGACCGAGCAACGCCGCGUGAGUGAAGAAGGUUUUCGGAUCGUAAAGCUCUGUUGUAAGAGAAGAACGAGUGUGAGAGUGGAAAGUUCACACUGUGGCGGUAUCUUACCAGAAAGGGACGGCUAACUACGUG
This 495-nucleotide ribosomal RNA is filed under the name uncultured bacterium. Its description in RNAcentral is "partial 16S ribosomal RNA". It matches the Rfam family "Bacterial small subunit ribosomal RNA", at positions 28 to 507 of the family's 1533-position model. The record is from RNAcentral.